Molecule: long non-coding RNA, 8063 nt
Filed under: Drosophila guanche
Lineage: Eukaryota; Metazoa; Arthropoda; Insecta; Diptera; Drosophilidae
Source: RNAcentral
CAUUUCUAGCUCUGCCAACACAAGUUUGUUUUUUCUCCUUCGUUUUGGGAAUUGUCGGUCUUGGCUGUGCGUGUGCUCGUGCCUGUGGCUGUUGCUGUGGCCACCGAUGACCGAUGUGAAUUGGAAAUUUAUUAUCCACAGUAGAGGUGUCCACAUUUCGGAAUAUCUGAUCGAGGAUGAGAAGGAGGGAACAACACAAACAGCAGGGAAUGAAGGUAUGUAUAGAAGCCAAAAUAAUAUUUUGGUGUGGAGGGGCUGGAAAGAAAAUGGGGAAAAAUAAAACAGGGAAUAUUCUAACGCACCCGCGAUGUAUAUUUGCAAGCAGUGUCCCAAAAGCUUUCGAGCUCGAAAUACGAUGUCUUUCGAUGUGAUGAGUAUUAAUUAACACAGCUGUUAGCUAACCAACAAUUUUUCUACAUUUAUGUAUACAUAUUUAUGAUUUGAAAUGGUCUGUUCAUAUUUAUAUGUAUAUCCAUAAUACGAAAUCUGUGUAAAUAUUUGUCGUAUUUUUGUAUACUUUUCUUACACCAAUAAUCACGAUAUUUUUUUUAGAAAAAUCAUCAUGUUAGAUGCUUUAAGGUGGUCUAAUUGUCUAUGUAAUUAUCGAUGCAAAAUUUGGUUGCUAUAGCUUUUAUAGUCUCUGAUAUCCAGGCGCACAUCACGACGGACAGACAGACAGACUUGGCUGUAUCGACUCGGCUCUUGAUGCUGAUCAAGAAUAAAUACAUUUUAUAGGGUCGGAAACGUUUCCUUCUGUGCGUUACGCGUACUCUUCGAGUACCGGGAUAAAAAACAACAACCUAACACUUUUUUGAAAAGAUCUCUAAAAAAUGCUCACAUAGAAAACAAAGUUGUAUCAAACAAUUUCAAAGUUAUAAAUUUAUCAGAAAAGUUGUCUUAGUUUUAAAGCCGGGUAUUCGGCACACCAGAAAAUAUAAAUUCCUGUCAAACUUCAUAUAAAAAACCUGCUCCAAGAAUUUUUUGUUUGCUGAAUAUAGACGGGUAUCUAGCACCGCGGAAAAAAAAUUCCUGGCAAACUUCAUAUAAAAAAAACGAGAAGGGACGUGUGAGACGCUUCUUACGCGUCGCAACUUUUAUACCCGGCACUCAGUACUACAUCUGCACCUUAGCGGUGUUUUAAAAAAUUUUAAAUAUUUUCUUCAUCUGUCAUCUACAUCUACAACACUUCUCACACCAACACGCUCCGUUAGCUCGCCGCCCAUCCCUAGACCAACACACUGCAGACUCGAGGAGGAGGCAGAGGCACCGUCCGCAUACAAAAAAAAAAAAACAAAUAAAAGCUGCUGGACGGGGUGGGUUAAAAGUCGGAAGAGGCAUCGGCAGGGGGAGGGCAGAGGCAGGGGCCGAGUGAAGCAGAAGCAGAAGCAGAGUGUGAAUGAGAGAAUGUAAAAAGAUCAACAAAAGCUGCGGGACAGGGUGGGUUUAGCCACUGGAAAUUAAUUUCUUCAUUCUGGCCCAAUUUGGUGAUCUGAUAGAUAUGGUAAUUCCCUACGGAAUGGCGUGUUUAUUUUUCUUUUAUCUUCAAAAAUAAAGGUUUGGGAGGUUUUCGCCCUUUUGCGGGGUCGGAAGAUGGCGGGGCUAAUUACACUGGUUUCAGUGUGAGCAUACAGCAGUCUGGAUGCAAAAUUUGGUGGCUCUAGCUCUUAUAGUCUCUGCGAACUAGCCGACAAACAAGACGGACAGACAGACGGACAGAUAAACAUGGCUCAAUCGACUCGGCUAUUGAUGCUGAUCAAGAAUAUAUAUACUUCAUGGAGUCGUAAACGUUUCCAUCUGUGCGUUACAUACAACCGUUAUUCCCCACAAAUACAAUUCGCCCUAUUUACUUUUCGAGUACCGGUUAUAAAAAGUAACAAAAAGAGCUGGUAGUUAAAUUGACUCCGACGAUCUGUUUCGACUCUCUAUUACGUUUAUGAGCGCACUUGUUUCCUUCACCUCCUACACACCAGAAAUAAUUGUCAGCAUAUAUUUCUUACCUGUCUACCAAUUUUUAGUUUUUGUGGUGCUGGAUACGAGCUUUUAUCGCUUUUAUCUUCUCAACCUUUCAUUAGCAACGUUAAAUUAAAGUUCAAAAUACUGGUAGCUUUUCUGUGCCAAUCUCUGUCAAAAUCUGUCAGUCUGGCAAAAAUAUAAAGCAUACUCUUUCCAGACUCGCCCAGAUAUAUGUAUUUACAUACGUACAUAUGUGUGUAUAAUAAUAAAGCCCAAAGAGGAUCAUUGGAGUAGGAGAUCUUCAUAAUGGAUAUAAAUAAAAGUUUGCUACCUACACAAAAUAUACCGUAACCUUUAGAAUAUAUGCAAAUUUCAAAGUACUUCGUGUAUGUACUUUGGAGGUACAUCAGAAAAGUCAAUGUGUAUAAUUUCUGAAAGAAUAAUUUUCUUUAAUCAUGGCGCCAUAAACUCAGACCAAGUUGUAAGAGCUGUUAUACAAAGUAGAAUAAUAGGAAGAGAAUUAAAUUAAGAGAAUGAAGGGCAAGGAAUGCGCAUGACCAGGGUCCACAUAACUCCAGUCACCCUCUGAAAAACCACAACUCUCACGGUCAAGCCGAGUCGCAAACCUAUAUAUAAUAUUUAUAGCAAAAAACGACAAUCUCUCUUUUGAGAUCUGCGCAGGCGUCGAAUAGGCGACGUUCGGAGAGGAUAACAUUUCGUCUGUUACUGUGUAUGUUACUGUAGACGGGGCAUGGAAUGGAAUAAAAGGAAGGAGCCCCAAUCGAAUCGAGUUAGCCCCAAUCGAAUACUGGCUUGGCUUAGUGUGGCUUAACGUUAACUUUAUCUCCCUGCUAACCCUUUCUUCCUCUCUCUAUAUUGCCUGUGUCUAUGUCCUCAUUGCAUUUAUACAUAUAUCUCAAUUAGUUAUAACAAAUUUUAUUCGGCAUCAACAAAUCACUGCCCCAAGGAAAUCCAAAUGAAAAAAGUCGCUCGAAUUGAAAGGUAUCAGCUUAUUUUAGUCACAGCCAUUUCGACCCUACUUUGUUCGGGUAGGUAGUCGCCUUCCGUUAGCCCCGAUUUCUUCAUGGGAGGAAAUGCCAACAACUGCCUCAAGAAGCUGCCGGAAAACCGCCGUAUUUUCCAGUGGUGCCUCAAAACUGCCCACUGCCGUAGUCUUGCCCAGCAGUGCACUACUGCUUUUUUACCUUUUAAUUUCGCACUUGGGUCAUUUUGACAUUUGGUGUGGAUUAUACGACCACUUCAUAUUUACGAAACGAAAGGCAGGAAACAGAAUGGAAUGCUAGAAAGAACAAAAGCAACUUAAACAACAACAUUUUCUGACUGGCUCGCCAAGUGCAAGUUGAGCAAAAUUAAAGGCCAAAAAGGAAAAAUUAAAGAGGACCAUACUAUCCUUGCCAGUCUAGAGGUACCGUCAACUCAACUCGUACUCCCGUACCUCUGUGGUAUCGGCGGGACGCAAGCACUACAAUUUCUGCCAUUCGUCGUCGUGAAAGUCGGUAGAUCCAUGUCUAGCAAAAAGUACGAUUAAAAAAUUAAAUUUAAGCCUGCUGCUUUGCAAACAACAGGGAUGUAUCCGUUUUAACAUCAUUUUAUUGUAAAUACUUCGAAAUUGUCUCACAUCUCAGAGAUUUCAUGAGAUUUCACACGAUUUUAUGGAAAAAUGAAGAACCAUUGUUGCAUGUUAAUUUCUUUUUUUUUAAUUUUAAAUUUUAAAAGUUCAAAAGUAAAGUAUACAUAUUUUAAAAUGCCGAAAGCAUUAUAUCAGGGCUCGGCACGGUUUUAUCUAUUGUGCAUAGGACAAGGCUCUGCAGCGGUGCUGCCCCCCACGUAACUCAUGUAUUAUGCUGUGCUGUCUGCGCACCAUACGUUAAAGUAUAUGUAUGUACAUAUGCAUGUACUAUGAUAGUAUGUAUGUAUGACGAGCCUUUAAGUUGUUGUGUUCUGAGCCUGGCUGCUCUGUUUUGCGGUUUCUCUUUUCAAAUACAUUUUUUAAAUUCAAAUGUGUUUGAGAUGUUCUAUGAUGUGAGGAUAAAUAUCGCAUUCCUCCUCCUUAUUGCCUAUUUGAAGAGAUGACAUGAUGGUGAAAUAGUCUUAGAAUGUAGUAUACAAUAAAGAAAUGCAACCACAUCGAGAGGGCGAACUACUUUUUGUAUUAUUUCACUUUACUUCGUUCUGGUCUCUUUUCUGGUUCUGCAAAUCUUGAUUAUAAGCCACAUUAAUGUACAGACUUGCCCCAAGAAGGAGGACGGCUCGCAGAAAGAGUGGAAGAAUAGGUUUCCUAUACAAAUGCCAACAAACUGAGUGGAUCGGUGGUGGGGCUUCGACGAGCGCUUACCACCACUUUUAAAUACAACAAAACAAAGCAGCUGCAUUUCCAUGAAGUAGCAAGGUGACUCUUGGUUUCAGUGUUCUUGAAAACAUCGGAAAUGAGUUUUUAGAAUUUUACAUUUUUCCUAAAUCUGUUUUCUACAUAGUGUGGGCCGUUUUAGCUCGCCUCCCUUCCCCUGAGUCACACUUACCGAGGCAGAGCGUGCGAGCAAAAAUAAACAAAUCUGUUACAAGGGGUGGGUAAAAACAACUUGAUUCAGUGUGAUAUCACAUGAAUCUUCACCAAAAUUUUGGUGACCCUUUCUCUUAUGGUCUCUGAUAACGACGCGUCAAACAAGUCGGACGGACAGACAGAAAUCGUCAUAUCGACCCAGCUAUUGAAUCUGAUCAAGAAUAUAUAUGCUUUAUGGACUCGGAAACGUUUCCUUCUAUGCGUUAUAUACAUCCACUUUAUUUAUUUUAAUUUACCUAUUUACUCUUCCAGUGCCGGGUAUAACAACACACAUAAAUAGGUACAAAAGCGACAAGGGAAGCGGAGAUGGACAGGGAAAGGAAUGGAACGGAAAAGACGGAAAACAAAAGAGAUGUAGAAAAAGGCGCUACGAAUAGACAGCUGGGAACUAUGACCCCACACCCAAUCCUGCCGACCACCAACAAUUUUGGGAAGACAAAAAGGAAAGAAAAUUGCGACUUCGGUUAUGCUCUUUACCUUUUGCCAGACAUGCGAACGUAAAAAGGGGUCUAAAUAAAUUGGCAUAAUGUGGCUUAAGUGGGUAUAGAGUUCGUAUUAUAAUGAACCUGAUGAUAGCUCCAGCAGGGCCUGAAAAAGUAGAUGAUAUGCCCAGUCCUUCAAACCUUCAAACGUUCAACAUUUCAUGUCUUCAUUUGUCUGUUCAGAUUUAAUUCAUUUUUGAAAUACACUUGUAACAGUGAGCAUACAGAAGUCGGGAUGCAACAUUUGGUGGCUCUAGCUUUUAUGGUCUCUGAGAUCCAGGCGCUCAACAAGAUGGACGGACAGACAGACAUGGCUCUAUCGACUCGGCUAUUGAUGCUGAUCAAGAAUAUAUAUACUUUAUGGUGUCGGAAACGUUUCCUUCUGUGCGUUACAUACAACCGUUAUUCGCACAAAUACAAUAUACCCUAUUUACUCUUCGAGUACCGGGUAUAAUAAACAGACAGGCUCACAAAACUGGCUCAAACGCGUAAGAAGUAUAAAACCGGGGCCUACCUGAUACUGUCUUAUAUUAAUACUUAAGUACGAUUAUAUGUGAAAUACUAAAUACAAAUACUAAAUAAAUACAAUCAUAUAAAACAUUUUAAUAGAUGUUGAAUAAAUAAUAAUACAAGGAAUGUAGGAUUUAUUCAGGUUUUGUCACAUCCUACAUUUCAUUUGCAGUAUAUUUGCAUUCGUUUCUCUAAGACAUAGUCCUUGAUUAGUGUCCAUUUUGCCUGAUUUUGUGGCCAAGUUUAUGACGAAAUGGUGUAUUGUACUGCAGGGAUGGGAAGAUUGGAAGGGGCUAGCUCGCUUUCGUUUGUUUUUUUAAUUUAAAUUUAUAUUUAUAAUUCAUGGUCCAGUCCAAUGAACAGGAGCCACCCAUCCUCCCUUGCUAUUAUUGUGAAUUUCUGGUUUCUGUUCUCUGAGGUUAUUAAUUUUUGAGCCUUUUGCUGGGCCAAGAAUUCCAUUCGCGGUCUUGGAUUAGUUUACAGUUAUUUUAGAGGGUCAGGGCUAAGGCAACAAACGGCAAAGGCAGGUAAUUACUCUUUCGAGUAAUUGGAUGAAUGGAAUUGGAUUCCACGGCAGCCAGUGAGUAAUGUGGGUAAAAUUAGACGGAUUGUUAAGUGGCGUCACCAUUAGGUCAGCUGAGCAAGGGAAUAGCGAUAGGGAUAUUUCUGUGAACGAAAGCUCUAAACUUUCUUGAUACUCAAUUUUGUGUUACACAUUUUUAUUUUGCUGGUCUCUGAUUUUCACAAUUCUAAAUAACACCUUUUUGUUAGGCUAUUAUUUAUAACAACUGGGGCGCUCACGGGGGAAAAGGAAGUCUUUUUGAAAUAUCCACGUCUACCAGUGUUGUUGCUGCUUCUGUUGCAAGAUUUUAAUCUUUCAAAUAUCGGUAAAUGUUCUAGUUAUUCUCGAGAACUGUUUUGGUAUUCCUUUUUGUAAUUCUGUUUCCAUGUUUUUGUGGUUUAUGUCCUUCGUCUGGCCAUCACCUACAUUAGCGUCAAGUGUUAAGUAUAAUUAAAUACAAAUAUUUGUAUGGCUCACCUGCAUGUCGGGCGGCACGGGGUUACAGGUUGUCACAUGACUUUAUGGUGUUGUUCUCAAAUAAUUCAAAGUGUGGUGCUUAAAUGACGGGUGCAUGUCUACUUAAAUUAAUACUUAUCCUUUCACCUGUCCCUUCUCAAUCAGGUUCUUAGGUUCGCGACAACUGUGGCAUUGUCAGCUGACGCCGCUAUAAUAUUUGAAUAAUGCAUAUGCAUAUACAUACAUACAUACGUAUGUACAUAGGUAUAAUAUGACUUACUUUGUAGCUGCUAGGCAGAUGUCCAUAGUGUAAGGUUGUCACGCAGCAGCUACAUGAUGAGUUCAGUUUAUCCAGUUCAUCACUGGCAUCAUCGAAAGCGGGCUGUACCAAGUCGAUGGCCUACUACGAUGGAGCCAAAUCGGUUGCGAAUUCCCAGGCAGUAUUGUAAGAGCACAGCGACUGCUCUGACGCCUCCAUGUGGUUCCAGCCAAUGGUGAAUUCGGCCAAAUAGCGAAUCCCCGCAUCUUGUAGUAGAAUGCUUUGCCUUCCGUUGUAGUGUCAUUGCAUGGAGUUGAGAACAUUUUGCGCGCCUCCACAGUCAUCACAACGAAGUUCUUCAUGGGCGCAGCCAUGUCUGUACGGCCUGUUCAACCAAUUUUGUCUUGUAGAGAUUGUCCUGGUGUUCUGACGUGCUAAAAUACAUAUGAUAAAAUUUCUACUAAAAUAUUUCACAAAACAAUUCACACGAAAAGAUAUAUUUCCAUUGUGGCUUUCUGUAGUUUUAGCUUUUACAUGACAUUUAUUCUGUGUUUCUAGCUAGCCUGCCACUUUGUCGCCUGCUUUCUCCAUGUCUUCACAAAAAUGAGCAAAACCUCUUUUUCAACAUAAUUUAUUCUUAAACCGAUUAAGGGAUUUAUCCGAUUUUUCUAGUCAAUAAUUGCAUCAUAACGAACAGAAAGCUCGAAUAUCGGAUGAUGUUUGGGAGCUUUAAAGGUACAAUCAUAUGAUUUUUCGCUGACUUCAGUGGAAUUUCGGUCAAGCGCAGUUCUAUGCUCUUCCUACCUAUCCCUCUUAACAAGAUAAGCGCACGACCCUCGCUAUCAUGUUCUAACAGUGCACCGACUCUAUUUUGCUUACAGCAAAGUUACAGUUUACGAUCCACUUUCAAAGUUAUCUAUAGGAAUGCACUUUUAAGCGCCACCGAACAGGGAAUUCUGUUUGCAAUGAUCCACGCUACUUCCCUACGAGAUAUAUUUAAUAUUUUUAUGACCUUUUUCAUCAAGGCAUCUCUCCGAUGAUUCUGCGGAUGAAGAUGCUGCACAGAAAAAGCUGCUGGGACCACGACCACCCAAGGGUCCUAAAAGAAGGCCAUGCCCGGAAACGGAUGAUACUCGUAGUUGGCCGAUAUCGACAUGUGUACUCCAGAUAUCUCUCUGAGCUUGGCCCCCACAUCUCUACUGUUCAACCAAGCGCUUGCAAGCUUCUGCUGUCGGUGGAAGUGGCUGUGGAAUCAAGAGG